CUGGUGAUGAGCAACCAGCCCACAUCAGAGGAGCUGGAACUAGGUGAUCUCUGAGGUCCCUUCCAAUUCAAGCCAUUCUGUGUUUCUAUGUGACCGUCACUGAGGGAACUCCGAUAGCUACGGGGCUUCGUGCACUGCGGGGAGCUCCCUGGGUACUGCGAGAGAUUCAAGCAGCGCCACGGAGAAAUCCUAAUGGGACGACCUGGGUGUCGGGGGCAACCGCGCGGGGUUCUCACUGACCGCCGAGGAUGAAGCUGCCGACGGCGGAGAUAAAGCCGCUGAGGAAGGAGUUGAAGGGAAAGGUGCCGACACCCAGGCAGUAGCCAAACUGGAGCGCCCCGGUGAGCAUCACGUACAACAGGUAUGCGUCCAGCACCUUGAGACGGCUCGACGUGCCACUGCCGUACUCCGCCAGGAAACGCCGCACCACAGAACCUACCGAGCCCGCAGCCCCCACACCCGAACCCGCCGUGCCCGACAUGCUCCCCCCAGAAGAAAGCUGAGGUGGCCGGAAGCAGAGCGGACAAGCGCUUCCGGGACACAGCCGAGCAACACACGCGCAUGGCCAGUCCACUUCCGGGUCAGAGAUAGUGCGCAAACGCAGUUGUCCUGCCCGCAAAAGGGCGGAACUGAGGUGUUACUAGAGAUAAUACGCAUGCGCAUAAGUACGUGCCGGAUUGGCUGAAAGGUGCUUCCGGCUGGCGCGUGCGCAGAAGUCUCUCGGUCUCCAGAGGUGCCCUUGUGUGAGAUCAGUUCGUGGCGGUAGGAGGUGGGAUUGGUGGGGUGGUUUUGCCAGGAUGGAGUAUGGGGGUUUAUGUGUCUUCCUUCUACGAUGCCUGGCAUGCUGAAGUCUCAACGGUCCUGAAGAAAACUGAGACCUGAGCAUCAGCAACGGGGUGUCUGGGAAGAUAUCCAAAAGCCAUCCUUCUUCUUCCAGAUUCCUGCAACUGUUGCUUUUGUGUAGGUCCCUUUAUAUUUAUGUCCAGAGGGAAGCAUUAUGUGAUGGGUGAUGGUUGCAGUAGGUGAUCCUAGAGUUUUUUUCCAACUCUAAUGAUUCUAUGAUUGUAUGAUUGAGAACUACAGCGUUUCCUCUCCACCUUACUCAUCCCAGGCUACUCUCUGCUGCAAGGGAGUAUAGACAGUGUAUCUCCUCCAGGUACAGUAACAGUUCUCCUUGUGUUGGUUUAUCUCAUACCUGAACCAGGAGCCUCCUGGAUUGUUUGCAGCCCACUAUAUUGCUUUCCCAACAGAUAUUCAGGUUGAAAUCCCUCAUCAGGAUGAGAGCUUCUGACGAUGAUGCUUGUAGUUGAAGCAAGAAGUUCUUGUCAGCGGGAUUCCCUUGAUCAGGCAGCCUAUAGCAGGCCACGACCACCAGAUAUCCUGUCUUGGCACAGUCCCUAAUUUUUACUCACAAGCUCUCAACCUAUUUAUGGGUGGUUUUGUUUUUUUUUUUUUUUUUUUUUUUAGAGGCAGUUCUUUACAAUCUACCCAUUCCUUAACACAGAGCACAAAAACCCUGCUUCUCUUUCCCUUCUAAAAAACACAUAGCCCUUGUUUGCAGUGUUCCAGUUGUGUGAUUGUCAUACCUACGUGCCAUGGUCUAUGUAAGUUGUUAAAGAUCACUAUACACGUAACUUCAUAUAGUCACAGUUUCUUUCUUCACUGGCUAAUGCUUCACACUCUCCUCCUCAGCUGAUGAUGUAUCGUAGUGGAUUCCCAUUCAAUCAGAACAAGAGUUGAUACUGCAGAUAUUGAGUGUGUUCACUUGCAGUUUUGGGUCUCUGCUCGCAGUAUUACCAGUGAGUGGCUGCAUGAGCAGAUAGUGAACUGGGGAAGGAGCAUCAUCUAGUGCAUGCUUGUGAUAAACUACUUGCUAAGGGAAAGUCUGCACUUCAGGAAUAAAAGUCUCUGCCUGUACCCCUUCCUAGGGUUUUCCCAGCAUUGCAGAUGAGCACAUUACUAUCUCCUUCUCAUUACUUUAGAAUGUUUUUAAAGAAAUGAAGAUGCUUAAGGAGAGCACCUAGAUGGUCCACAGAAAUCCUGGGAUGGACAGCUGCUCAAGAUGAUGAUUCACCUGAACCCAAAUACACAUUUCUUUUAGGCUGGGAUGUACUGUGUCUGGAGAUGCUGAAAACAGGCACAAUUAAGAGAGCUUACCCCACUGUACACUGUGAUGACUUUCCAGACUUUCAGGAGAGAAAACUUCCAGGCAGGAGCAGAACUAAACCACAUCUUCACCUCUAGUUCCCUGUAUGUAAAGACCUACUGGCUACAUCACAAUACUCCAGAAUAUCUUGAGCAAAUACUGCACUCUCCUCUAAUCUUCAGGAUAAAGCCAUGAUUUUCCUGGUGCCUGGGAAUGAGAACUGGGGUCUCAGUGUCACUUUUUUCACCCCAUACGCCUUGCCUCCCUGUUUGUUCUGGAAAUCCUUACCUCACAGGAAGGCCAACAGAAAGCUCUUUCACUUUUCCUUCCGUAAACUGAGCCCUGGAUCUAAAACACUGGAAUGCUUUAACCUCUUCCAGCUUUCCUUGUGGCAUACAAAUAAUCCAUAUCUUGGGAAGUGUCUCCUUUGAGAUUUCAGGGAGAGAGCAAUACAUAAUUGUUUCUCUGCACUUUGCACUUGUCUGUUCCAGACAGAAAAGGUGAGUCUUAAAGGAAGAACAGCGUUUAUUUUGGAAGUCACAUAGUGCAGUGGAGUGAAAACGUUAAAGAUAUAAAGGUAGAUCAUUAACAAGCCAGUAACCUUCCUGCUAUAGCUAGGAUAAGUCAGCCAUCACCCAUCUGUCUGCAGGACAGAGUGCUGCUACAGGUAAGAUCAAGACUGUCACAUCUUGUAGCUUGCAGAAAAUUUGCUGUUUAUUGGAAUAUGAACCAGAGACUUUGCCAACAUGGAGGGCAGGAAGUGUGGUGCAGCACAUUUUCAGUGGGAGCUAUGGUUACUAUGCCUUUUGUUGAUACCUCUAAACAUUCAUCUUUUCUAUUGUGCGUGGCACUUCUGUGCCAAGAGAGCACACCUGUGAGCAGGCCAGUAGCCCACUUUGCCAAAGUUGCAUUUGGAAAGGGCCACCACUCCAUGAAAAAAGUUAUGCUUCCCUUCCACUCCCAUCUUCAGCUAAAACAAACAUGGUGGAGGCUGUGAACGAGAGGUUUUCUGUUGCGCUCGGCAUGAUGCAGAUGUAGCCCAGCUAGUAGAAUACUUCUCACAAGUAAUGAGAAUUCAUCUGUUGUGUAAAAUCCUACUUGGUAGCAGCAGUGGGGUUACAGCAUGGCAGGUAAAUUUAAGCUAUGCUUUGUGGCCCUGUUUUGUUCCACAGGUGUUGAUGUUCUAUAUGCUGAUGUUAAGCUCAUAGCCUAAAGACACUUGGACUCACACUGCUCCCAAGGAGGGUGUUACUUGCCUCCAGGCACUUGUCCAGCUGAGACACUGCAAUGAGGGAGAGAUGGGAAGUGAGGCAGGAAGGAAGGUCCACAGAAGGAAAGGAAAAAGAAGGCAUAGGACUAUUUCACCUGACCCCAGGAAAUUGAGGUCCUGUAAAGGGAUAAGGCAAGUCCCAUUGGAGAGAAAGGGAAGGAAGCUAUGCUGUGUAGAUCUGCAGGAAAAGGACUUUCAAGGCUCACCAUCUCGGCUGCACAGCCAGGUUACAGCCUUUGCCUCCAGCAAUUCACAUAGCUCAUGGUAACGCCUGUUGUCUCUCUGCAGCCAGGUCACAGCCAGCACUGUUGCCCAGAAACUAGGCUCCAUGACCUGUAGGAGAACAAUGAAUGACACUGCUGUACAUCCUCCCUGACCCUCACUCCUUCCCACCCCCUCUUUUGUGGCUAGUGGUUUCUGAUCCUUUCACUAGUUCUCCCUGCCCAGGACUACACGCUGCCUCCAGAAAGGAUCAUCCUCUUACCUCACCAGGCAUCUUUCCCUUGAUUUCAGCCUCCUCAACCUGUAGCACAGAAGCUAAACCUGAGCUGAGGGUCCAGGAGCCAUCUACAUUCUGCAGUGCCACCAGCUCUCUGCACUCAGCAAUGGCUUCAUUCAUCCAUGGCCCAAAAAUUUGAGAGCACAAAACAAAUCUUGUUGAAUCCACAUACUUGAGAGAGAAAAUGGAUGGUGGUGGCUGUUCAGGUGCUGUGAAACAAGACAUGAACAGGGAAUCACAGGAAGAUGACUCCUCUCCAUUCCCCUGUGCAGUGCCCCAGAACACUCAUCUCUACUCUUCCUUGGGCAGUUACCUGCAGACUGAGACCCUCCCUGUAUGUCCUCAGUGUGAUCUUGUCCCCAGCGCUUUUUGGACAUCCUUUACUCAUCCCUCUUCCCUUGACAUUUCUGCCUAGCCAGGUGCCCCAGUGGUCUCCUGACAUCCUCAACAUAUAUCGUCCAAAUGUGCUUUCACGCUGAAGCACUGGCCCUAACGCCUCCACGGGCAUCCUUGACCUGGAUCUCACAAUUGCUGAAGGACUUUCAGCUUUAAUACUAAUUAAGGGAAAGAUUAAACUCACUAGUUUUAAGACCAAGAGCAGGACAUGUAAAAAAGCAACAGAACACUCCUAUCAGAUAUUAAUUAAUCCCUGUAUUUCCUAUCUGUGUCAAAGCUUUGUACCUUCUUUGUGAGCCCCAUGCUGGAGUAAGUUAGCAAUGCCAUUGGUGAGACGCUUGAUGGCAAUCCGUGACUCCUGCACUGCAGUGUGCCAUCUAGGUGGGUUCCAUAUGGUCUUAGGAAAGCAGGAAGUGUCAGUCAAGGAGCCACGUAGCAAAAGGAUCUUGCAGGGAACGAAUGACUGGCGAGGUGACAGCAGUGCCAGGGGCCCUUUGAGAGUUAAGAAGGAAAGGGGCUGAAUUAAGGUAGUGGGGAGAAAAGCACCUGUUGAUGAUGGGGCUUAUGCAUAUUGUGGCUGGACUUCUGGCUCCUGUGGAAUGAGAACAACACAUGGAAAUACCUCUCCAGUUCUUUUCCCCAAGUGUCUUUCCUUACCAUGGUACCAGGGGGCCCUCCGUGAUGUACGAACACCCACAUAGCUGGUGAAGGGGCAGAUGAUCCCAGAUGUGAGACUGAUUUCAAUGGCACGCUGCAUUGGUUCAUCCCCUGACCCUCUCACAACCUCUGGCAACAGUAGCUUCUCCAGCAAAUGUCUUGCAGCCAGAUGAUGACCAGCCAUCCUGGGGACAGAGUAGAGUGAGGCCUGACAACCUGGGGAGAAAGGGCCUGUGUUCUCUCCUUUCAGGAGUGAGGAUGUGCAAAGGGAAGACCUGGAUGCAUGGACCCUUCUAUCUUGAAGGAAGUGAUGCCCAUGUUCCUGGGUCCUGUCCAUGUGGGUUCAAAACAGGGAAGGAGACCAUGCUUGGACACUUGGGUUCUCUCUCAGUUUGGCACGGUGUGAGAAAGCUGGGAAUGUGUGAGCUAUCCGUGUCCUCCAUCAGCUGGAGUCCACGUGUAGAAAACAAGGAGAUGCUCUUACCGGCCAUCUCCCUGUGGGCAUAGUGGGAACUGGAUCUUGUGAGUGACAUCCUGGCCAUCCAGGUUGAAAUGCAAGGUCAUGACACCACUGGCCUCCUUCAUAUCCUGGAAACACAUGUAAAAUUACUGGAGACACAUGAUGGCUGCUGAGGGAUAUUUGGAAGUUACUGAAAGAUUACCUGUAGUUAUUGGGAGGUCAUUGGAAGGUAACUGUAGUUAACUGGGAUGGUAGCCCCAGCUCUCACCUGUUCCUUUCCAUGGAUCUGUGCAUAGAGGAAGAUGUGCUGACCCUGAAAGAUGAACUGGGGGGUCCCUCCCAGCACCUCGACCUCCAGGCCAGAGGGCAAAGUCCACUCCAGAGAGACUCCCUCAGCUACUGGCUUGAGGGCCUGCUUCAAGCAUUUCAACACCUGGGGAGAAAUGGCAGAACACCACAAUCUGGCAACUCCAUGAGAGUUCAGUAUGUGGCCCCUCUGAGUUCUUAGGGGACACUGGGAUAUGAUUGGUGGUGUUCAGUUUUGGCUGGGAUAGAGUUAAUUUUCUUCCUAGGAGCUGGCACAGUGCUGCAUUUUGGAUUAAGGAUGAGAAUAAUGUUGAUAACACAUUGAUAUUUUAGUUGUUGCUAAGCAGUGCUUACAUUAAGUCAAGGAUUUUUCAGUUUCUCAGACUGCCCUGCCAGCAAGAAGACUGGGGAAACACAAGGAGCUGGGAGGGGAUGGGACCAGGACAACUGACCCAAACUGGCCGAAGGGAUAUUCCAUACCAGAUGACAUCAUGCUAAAUGAUAACACUGGGAGGGGGGAACUAAAUGAUAACACUGGCUGCGGCAGGGAGAGAUUGCUGCGUGGGGACUGGCUGGGUGAUGAGCAACAGCAUUGUGCAUCACUUGUUCCAGAUAUUCUUUUAUCAUUAUUAUUAUUAUUAUUUUCCCUUUGUUUUCCAUCCUCCUAAACUGUCAUUAUCUCAACUCAUGUGUUUUACCUUUUCUUCCAGUUUUCUCCCACAUCCCACUGGUGGAUACUGAGCGAAGGACUGUAUGUUGCAGAUGGCCUGCACCAGGUAGCUUCCCUGGGAGCAGUCAGAGAACAAGUCAUGACAUACCCAAGGAAGCACCUGAAGAGACAUUGGGAAGGCCUGGCAUCCCCUCCAUUCCCCCCCCCCCCCCCCCCCCCCCCCAGUAAUCUUUGUUUAAUGAAGACUUUGAAGAAAAUCACCUUAUCACUAUGACUGAGCCAUCUUGGGGACAACAGGAUGGCUUGGCUACUGACCUGACUGACGCCAGAUAACACACGAAUUAACAAAUGUAAACCUUUGAUAAAAUUGUGAACCUGGAGUACCCAGCCAAUGGGGAAACAGGGAAGGGGGAUAGGCAAAGGGGGACACAAGGUACAAAAGACAGAAGCUGUCAUUGAGUCCUUCGGGGUGCUCCUGCUUGUGGGACGCCCGCCAUUGCAAUCACAAAUAAAAUCUGCUUUUAUCAGAGAUACCAUCCUGACAAAAUUAUUUGGAUAUUUCCAGCAUUUUGACUUGGGUAUCUUCUGUCCUUGCUAGACUGGAAUACUCUGUCUUCAGCUUCCUUGCAUAAGCCAGCUCCAUACUCAUGCCUUCUUGGCAGCAGCUUGAGACAAUCCACCUCAUUUGUGGUCUACAGAUGCUCAAGGGGCCAAAUCACACCUGACUUCAGACGCAUUUAUCCCAGAGCAUACCCUGACUGUCUCUUUUCUAUGAGUGUGUAUAGGACUGAACUCUUACUUCUCCACCAAACCUGGGCAGCUUCCUUCAAACUGCCUCUCAGGUUUGGUGUGCUCUUCAGAAAAAACAACACGGAGGGCUGUGCUGGUGGUGCCACAACCUUGAUCAUCACAGACAAUUCUGGCUGCC
Molecule: long non-coding RNA, 7332 nt
Filed under: Gallus gallus (chicken)
Lineage: Eukaryota; Metazoa; Chordata; Aves; Galliformes; Phasianidae
Source: RNAcentral